CAUUUUCAACUUUGGUACCAUUUUUAGCUUUGGUACCAAAGUUGAAAAUGGUACCAAAGUUGAAAAUGGUACCAAAGUUGAAAA
RNAcentral lists this microRNA precursor (84 nucleotides) under Strigamia maritima. RNAcentral describes it as "microRNA mir-186". Lineage: Eukaryota; Metazoa; Arthropoda; Chilopoda; Geophilomorpha; Linotaeniidae. The record is from RNAcentral.